RNAcentral lists this ribosomal RNA (155 nucleotides) under uncultured bacterium. RNAcentral describes it as "partial 16S ribosomal RNA". It matches the Rfam family "Bacterial small subunit ribosomal RNA", at positions 372 to 524 of the family's 1533-position model. The record is from RNAcentral.
UGGGCGAGAGNCUGAUCCAGCCAUGCCGCGUGCAGGAAGACUGCCCUAUGGGUUGUAAACUGCUUUUAUACAGGAAGAAACCACAGAACGUGUUCUGUGCUGACGGUACUGUAAGAAUAAGGAUCGGCUAACUCCGUGCCAGCAGCCGCGGUAAU